UGGGGAAUAUUGGACAAUGGGCGAAAGCUUGAUCCAGCCAUGCCGCGUGUGUGAAGAAGGUCUUCGGAUUGUAAAGCACUUUAAGUUGGGAGGAAGGGCAGUAAGCGAAUACCUUGCUGUUUUGACGUUACCGACAGAAUAAGCACCGGCUAACUCUGUGCCAGCAGCCGCGGUAAUACAGAGGGUGCAAGCGUUAAUCGGAAUUACUGGGCGUAAAGCGCGCGUAGGUGGUUCGUUAAGUUGAAUGUGAAAGCCCCGGGCUCAACCUGGGAACUGCAUCCAAAACUGGCGAGCUAGAGUAGGGCAGAGGGUGGUGGAAUUUCCUGUGUAGCGGUGAAAUGCGUAGAUAUAGGAAGGAACACCAGUGGCGAAGGCGACCACCUGGGCUCAUACUGACACUGAGGUGCGAAAGCGUGGGGAGCAAACAGG
Molecule: ribosomal RNA, 429 nt
Filed under: Pseudomonadota bacterium
Lineage: Bacteria; Pseudomonadati; Pseudomonadota
Description: Proteobacteria bacterium partial 16S ribosomal RNA
Rfam family: Bacterial small subunit ribosomal RNA
Source: RNAcentral